AGUGAACGCUGGCGGUAGGCCUAACACAUGCAAGUCGAACGGCAGCACAGUAAGAGCUUGCUCUUACGGGUGGCGAGUGGCGGACGGGUGAGGAAUACAUCGGAAUCUUCUUUUACGUGGGGGAUAACGUAGGGAAACUUACGCUAACACCGCAUACGAUCAACGGCAGAAAGCAGUGGAUCUUCGGACCUUGCGCGAUUGUAUGAGCCGAUGUCGGAUUAGCUAGUUGGCGGGGUAAAGGCCCACCAAGGCGACGAUACGUAGCUGGUCUGAGAGGAUGAUCAGCCACACUGGAACUGAGACACGGUCCAGACUCCUACGGGAGGCAGCAGUGGGGAAUCUUGGACAAUGGGCGCAAGCCUGAUCCAGCCAUACCGCGUGAGUGAAGAAGGCCUUCGGAUUGUAAAACCCUGUUGUUGGGAAAGAAAAGCAGCAGAUUUAUACCCCGCUGUUCUGACGGUACCCAAACAAUAAGCACCGGCUAACUUCGUG
This 492-nucleotide ribosomal RNA is filed under the name uncultured bacterium. RNAcentral describes it as "partial 16S ribosomal RNA". It matches the Rfam family "Bacterial small subunit ribosomal RNA", at positions 29 to 507 of the family's 1533-position model. The record is from RNAcentral.